This 771-nucleotide ribosomal RNA is filed under the name uncultured ciliate. RNAcentral describes it as "SSU rRNA". It matches the Rfam family "Eukaryotic small subunit ribosomal RNA", at positions 1 to 806 of the family's 1831-position model. Lineage: Eukaryota; Ciliophora. The record is from RNAcentral.
ACCUGGUUGAUCCUGCCNGUAGUCAUAUGCUUGUCUUAAAGAUUAAGCCAUGCAUGUCUAAGUAUAAGUAUCAUACAGCGAAACUGCGAAUGGCUCAUUAAAACAGUUAUAGUUUAUUUGAUAGUUCGAAAUGGAUAACUGUAGCAAUUCUAGAGCUAAUACAUGCAUAAACACCGGACCUCGCGGAAAGGUGGUAUUUAUUAGAUAUAAACCUUCACCUUCAUGGUGACUGAUGAUUCAUAAUAACUUCACUGAUCGCUGUUCUCAGCGAUAAAUCAUUCAAGUUUCUGCCCUAUCAGCUUUAGAUGGUAGUGUAUUGGACUACCAUGGCGAUCACGGGUAACGGAGAAUUAGGGUUCGAUUCCGGAGAGGGAGCCUGAGAAACGGCUACCACUUCUAAGGAAGGCAGCAGGCGCGUAAAUUACCCAAUCCUGACUUAGGGAGGUAGUGACAAGAAAUAACGACUCGGGACUUACAAAGUUUACGAGAUUGUAAUGAAAACAAUUUAAAACACUCAAUGAGGAACAAUUGGAGGGCAAGUCUGGUGCCAGCAGCCGCGGUAAUUCCAGCUCCAAUAGCGUAUAUUAAAGUUGUUGCAGUUAAAAAGCUCGUAGUUGAACUUCUGUCUGGCCGCCGACCUUUCAGGUUUGUAGUGGCUCGGACAUCCCCCUUGAGAUCAAGGUACGUUCUUUGGUGAUCGGCUUUGAAAUCAGGGAUUUUACUUUGAGAAAAAUUAGAGUGUUUCAGGCAGGCUUGCGCCGGAAUACAUUA